This 327-nucleotide long non-coding RNA is filed under the name Gossypium barbadense (sea-island cotton). Its description in RNAcentral is "long non-coding RNA (GBAR_LNC005207)". The record is from RNAcentral. Lineage: Eukaryota; Viridiplantae; Streptophyta; Magnoliopsida; Malvales; Malvaceae.
AAUGUAUUAGAAAAGAGGAACACUUUGAGAAGGGUAACCUAAGUUUUUAAUAUGGUAGCUGGCUCAGAGCUCAAUUACAGGGGUCAACCGAAAAUAGAGGGAAUUGGCAAAACGAGGUUGAAAUCUUGGAGAGAAAAACAAACUCAAGUGAAGAGAAAAAUGGAAACAAAGAUGGGAAUGAGACUGAAAAUAAUAUGGUGAUUCUAAAAUUAAAAGAAAAGGUCAGGUUUAGGGAAGAGGAGUCAGAAUCUUGCUCUCAUAUAGAUAAGCUUCCAAUAUGAUCAAGACAUGAUGAAUGAGGCAAAAUGAGUGUAAACGUAAAAGAAC